RNAcentral lists this ribosomal RNA (427 nucleotides) under uncultured prokaryote. Its description in RNAcentral is "bacterial SSU rRNA". It matches the Rfam family "Bacterial small subunit ribosomal RNA", at positions 355 to 774 of the family's 1533-position model. The record is from RNAcentral.
UGGGGAAUAUUGCGCAAUGGGCGAAAGCCUGACGCAGCGACGCCGCGUGAGGGAUGAAGGUUUUCGGAUCGUAAACCUCUGUCAGAAGGGAAGAAACCGCACCGUGCUAAUCAGCGGUGCAUUGACGGUACCUUCAAAGGAAGCACCGGCUAACUCCGUGCCAGCAGCCGCGGUAAUACGGAGGGUGCAAGCGUUAAUCGGAAUUACUGGGCGUAAAGCGCACGUAGGCUGCUUUGUAAGUCAGGGGUGAAAUCCCACGGCUCAACCGUGGAACUGCCGUUGAUACUGCUUAGCUUGAAUCCGGGAGAGGGUGGCGGAAUUCCAGGUGUAGGAGUGAAAUCCGUAGAUAUCUGGAGGAACAUCAGUGGCGAAGGCGGCCACCUGGACCGGUAUUGACGCUGAGGUACGAAAGCGUGGGGAGCAAACA